UACGUAGGGGGCUAGCGUUGUCCGGAAUUAUUGGGCGUAAAGAGCUCGUAGGCGGUUUGUCGCGUCUGCUGUGAAAUCCCGAGGCUCAACCUCGGGUCUGCAGUGGGUACGGGCAGACUGGAGUGCGGUAGGGGAGAAUGGAAUUCCUGGUGUAGCGGUGGAAUGCGCAGAUAUCAGGAGGAACACCGAUGGCGAAGGCAGUUCUCUGGGCCGUAACUGACGCUGAGGAGCGAAAGCGUGGGGAGCGAACAGG
RNAcentral lists this ribosomal RNA (253 nucleotides) under uncultured bacterium. RNAcentral's name for it is "partial 16S ribosomal RNA". It matches the Rfam family "Bacterial small subunit ribosomal RNA", at positions 524 to 776 of the family's 1533-position model. The record is from RNAcentral.